UUCUAAUAUCCCUAAUAUCAGCUAAAUAGCUCAGCAAAUCCCUCGUUAUCCCUUCAAAAGACUGACCUAAUGUUUUCCUCAAUCAAAUUUUAUGUAUCACGCCUCUUUAUGUGACCUAUACACAAAACCCCUCUUCUACAACAACCCACAAUGCUAAAAAAGAGCACCCUCCUUGCCCUUUCCACCCGCAGCUAUACAGAGAUAGGAGCAAGGCAAUUAAUCACAUAAAAAUUCUAAGCAAUGAGAAUACCAUCUAACCCCUGAAAGAGUAGCCCAACAUCAUCCAAAAGUCUUCAGCUGAUAGCUUUCAAACAAGGAAGAAGAGAAAGGAGAGAGCAGCUUUAGCAGCAGCCUCUGAUCCUUACCGUUAUGUUGAGAAGACAAAGCCUGUUCCUGAUCCUCAGGACAGAGGUUUGAUAUAUGGAAACAGAGGGGAAAACGAGAAACCCGAUAAUUGAUUCAUCUAAAUCUGGAAAUAGAUGUCGGAUAAGGAAACAUAGCUUUUAGAAGCAGUGCCCAAUGAGGUUCCUUUGUCGUUGUAGACACGAUGCAAGAACCUCGCGGUGCUAUGAACUCUGAUCUUAUAACAUCCAGAACGAGAGGAACACUUUUGUUUUGACAUAACUGUAAGCAAAUGUAUACAACUCUUUCAAUAAUUUGAUUGACAAGGAUGUAGAAAGAAAUAAAAACCAACUCGUUGU
Asparagus officinalis (garden asparagus) is the source of this 701-nucleotide long non-coding RNA. RefSeq lists it as uncharacterized. The record is from RefSeq and is a predicted model, not a curated record. NCBI's taxonomy places the organism in Eukaryota, Viridiplantae, Streptophyta, Magnoliopsida, Asparagales, Asparagaceae. The transcript is spliced from 3 exons.